CUCUUCCGGGUUCCUUUCAAAAUUGUGUUUUUACAGCCCAAUUUUGUCAAUUCAAACCCCCAAACAAAAACCCCCUUUCUUUUAAAAUUCUUUUCAUUUGACUUUUCUUCUUCUCGUUCUCUUCAAUACCCGCAAACCCAUUUUUGUUACACAAGUGUUUAUGGAGGGAAUAUCGCACCCAAUACCCAAAACUCUAGAGUAAGUCUUCGUUGACUUUAAGGGCAGACGAGCUGGCUUGAUCAAGGCUUUAACUACUGAUGUUGAGAAGUUCUACCAGCAGUCCGAUCCUGAGCUUCAAAACUGUGUACACAAGAAAGAUACUUUGCAUGGGAUUGAAGUCCCUGGCAGAUGCAUUCGGGGCAGUGCCCCUUCAUGAAAUUGGAUGAGGCUGCUGUGCAGAAGAUAUUCCUGAAGUCGCUUGAUUGCAGCGCUUGAUUGCAAUGUAAUACGUCAUAUGACGUCC
Long non-coding RNA from Pistacia vera, 463 nucleotides. RefSeq lists it as uncharacterized. NCBI's taxonomy places the organism in Eukaryota, Viridiplantae, Streptophyta, Magnoliopsida, Sapindales, Anacardiaceae. The record is from RefSeq and is a predicted model, not a curated record. The transcript is spliced from 4 exons.